Long non-coding RNA from Culex pipiens pallens (northern house mosquito), 1283 nucleotides. RefSeq lists it as uncharacterized. NCBI's taxonomy places the organism in Eukaryota, Metazoa, Arthropoda, Insecta, Diptera, Culicidae. The record is from RefSeq and is a predicted model, not a curated record. The transcript has 6 exons.
AUUUUCUGACAGAUUGACGUUUCGGCGGCGUCGGCGAAAAAACUUUGACAGCUGACAUCAAGCAAAAACUUGUUCAGACUGGAUUGAACAAAAGUUAAAGAUUGAUGUUGAAAAUGUAAUGUGCAAAACCAAAUCGGAGCAAAAAGUUGGUUGAUGCAGUACAGCCGGAUACCGGGCCACCCGUGGAAAUAUGGUUCGAAGCCGGGCAUGGCAUUGGCCUUCCUACAGUCAGCACCGAUCCUGGCCCAAGGCCAACACCAUCCGGCUGGUGGUAAAGACGGUCUCUUCAAUAUGCAGUAGUUUCCGUUGCCCAAUUCGCUACCCCCCAAACCAUAAUGAAGCGUGGCGAGCCAUUUCCAUCAUCAAUCCUAAAAUACAUGAGGACGUACAUACAACGAUUCGGCUUUUCCCACCUCCUCUUUGACAUCUACAGCCGGAACCGGAGCUCAACAACAACAACAGCCUCAACGUGCCGCCGACUCCGACCUACAACACAACUCCUCCGAAUGUAACGCUACUCCUGAACUGAGCGGACCUCCCGCCGGCAUGGGACCGAUGCAUCAUAAACCACCAACACAUCUCCACCAUCCGCCGCCACACGUCCACCAACACGGACCGCCGCAGAUGCCCCAGAUGCAAUUGUCCCCGCACGAUCACCGCUGCGGACUAGAGAACCUCUAUGUUCUCUUAUCAGUUCAACACCCAGCAGCAUCUUCCGCACCAUCCGAGCCCCGCGGAAAUGAAGCAAGAAGUCACUCAAUAUAAGCGGAAGUGCCGCAGCGGUUCAAAAGCAAGAAUCGAUGGAAUUGACGCCACCGCCAAGCCAGCGACGGCCGCCACCGCAUCGAUGAUUUUGUUAAUUUUAGGCUUUGGGAGGAUUUUGUACAGUUUAAAGUGUUUUGUAUUCCAGAUUUCGGUCUUCGUGGCGGUAUAGGAGGAAGAGGAGGAGGAGGAGGACGGGAAAUAUGGUAUACUCGACCGGCAUUCCGGAAGACGGGACAGGAAGGAAUCAGUUUGCGAUCGAGGAACCGGUUGGUGUUUGGUGUUUUACUUUCCGCGGGAGGUUGCGACGCAUAUCUAAUGGAACUGGCAGUAAACAUAUUCCAAUCUGAUCCUGUCGGAAAUCAUGCGUCCCCGUGUGGUCCCGCGUGGCUUCCGUAGAACCCACGGAAGCAGCCACGUUUUCUCGUACUCAUGCUCCCACAAACCCACGUUGUCUCGUACUCCGGUAAACAUCAAUCCGUCGGAGGUCCAAGAUCGUCGCCAAGGCGUUUGAUCAGCUC